This 516-nucleotide ribosomal RNA is filed under the name uncultured bacterium. RNAcentral describes it as "bacterial SSU rRNA". It matches the Rfam family "Bacterial small subunit ribosomal RNA", at positions 120 to 631 of the family's 1533-position model. The record is from RNAcentral.
UGCAACCUGCCCCGCACCUGGGGAUACGCCGGCACAUCGCCGAAUAAACCCCAGCGGUGCGCCCGGGCCGCCUGGCCUGGGCGUGAUAGGCCUUCGGGCUGGUGCGGGAUGGGCAUGCGGGCCAUUAGCUAGUAGGCGGGGCAACGGCCCACCUAGGCGAUGAUGGCUAGGGGUCCUGAGAGGGAGGCCCCCCACACUGGGACUGAGACACGGCCCAGACUCCUACGGGAGGCAGCAGUGAGGGAUAUUGGUCAAUGGGCGGAAGCCUGAACCAGCCAUGCCGCGUGCCGGAAGACGGCCCUACGGGCUGUAAACGGCUUUUCGCCCCGAGGAAUAAGGGGGCCUCGGCCCCCGAUGCCAGUAGGGGCGGAAUAAGGAUCGGCUAACUCCGUGCCAGCAGCCGCGGUAAUACGGAGGAUUCGAGCGUUAUCCGGAUUUACUGGGUUUAAAGGGCGCGUAGGCGGCCCGGCAGGUCUGCGGUCAAAUGGAGGGGCUCAACCCCUUUUCGCCGUGGAA